Molecule: ribosomal RNA, 433 nt
Filed under: uncultured bacterium
Lineage: Bacteria
Description: partial 16S ribosomal RNA
Rfam family: Bacterial small subunit ribosomal RNA
Source: RNAcentral
AGCGAACGCUGGCGGCAGGCCUAACACAUGCAAGUCGAACGAACUCUUCGGAGUUAGUGGCGGACGGGUGAGUAACACGUGGGAACGUGCCUUUAGGUUCGAAAUAACUCAGGGAAACUUGUGCUAAUACCGAAUGUGCCCUUCGGGGGAAAGAUUUAUCGCCUUUAGAGCGGCCCGCGUCUGAUUAGCUAGUUGGUGAGGUAAAGGCUCACCAAGGCGACGAUCAGUAGCUGGUCUGAGAGGAUGAUCAGCCACAUUGGGACUGAGACACGGCCCAAACUCCUACGGGAGGCAGCAGUGGGGAAUCUUGCGCAAUGGGCGAAAGCCUGACGCAGCCAUGCCGCGUGAAUGAUGAAGGUCUUAGGAUUGUAAAAUUCUUUCACCGGGGACGAUAAUGACGGUACCCGGAGAAGAAGCCCCGGCUAACUUCGUG